Molecule: long non-coding RNA, 375 nt
Filed under: Capsicum annuum
Lineage: Eukaryota; Viridiplantae; Streptophyta; Magnoliopsida; Solanales; Solanaceae
Description: long non-coding RNA (CANN_LNC005445)
Source: RNAcentral
ACGGGCACUGUAAGGCGAUGGUAAGUUGAGAGAGAUAAAAAUGAGAGAGCCUUAUUAGUGAAAACCCUUACUGUAUUGUAAGAUGACUGUGAGUUAAGAGAAAUGAAAAUAAGUGAGUCUCAUUGGUGAAAAAACCUUACGGACACCAAAAGGAAAUAGUGAGCAUAGAAAAAGAAAAUGAGAGAGGCUUGUUGGUGAAAACCCUUCAAGGUGCCACAAGACGAAUAAGGUCUCUGAAUACGAAUUAGCCCAGGAAAGUAAAUCAAUUGUAGGGCCAUUAAAUCCGCAAAAAUUGGUGAAACUUUGGAGGGAAAGAUCGGGCAGCUUAAUCCAAAAUGCAUGUCAUAAUCAUUAGAGUUGUGUAACACCCCGCCG